UUUGCCUAUGAUGGUUUUUAAAUAUACUUUGAGAUUAAUCUCUAUGAAAAAAACUUAAAUCUGAGGCUUU
This is a small nucleolar RNA of Cannabis sativa, 70 nucleotides long. The record is from RefSeq and is a predicted model, not a curated record. Lineage: Eukaryota; Viridiplantae; Streptophyta; Magnoliopsida; Rosales; Cannabaceae.